RNAcentral lists this ribosomal RNA (431 nucleotides) under uncultured anaerobic ammonium-oxidizing bacterium. Its description in RNAcentral is "bacterial SSU rRNA". It matches the Rfam family "Bacterial small subunit ribosomal RNA", at positions 383 to 810 of the family's 1533-position model. The record is from RNAcentral.
GUGAACGAGCGACGCCGCGUGCGGGAUGAAGGGCUUCGGCUUGUAAACCGCUUUUGUUUGGGAAGAAGGCCUAUAUCGUGAAUAUGGGAUUGACGGUACCAGACGAAUAAGCCCCGGCUAACUCCGUGCCAGCAGCCGCGGUAAUACAGAGGUCCCAACCGUUGUUCGGAUUCAUUGGGCGUAAAGGGUGCGUAGGCGGCGGGGUAAGUCAGGUGUGAAAUCUCGGGGCUCAACCCCGAAACUGCACUUGAUACUGCCUUGCUAGAGUACUGGAGAGGAGACUGGAAUUUACGGUGUAGCAGUGAAAUGCGUAGAUAUCGUAAGGAAGACCAGUGGCGAAGGCGAGUCUCUGGACAGUUACUGACGCUGAGGCACGAAGGCCAGGGGAGCAAACGGGAUUAGAUACCCCGGUAGUCCUGGCCGUAAACGAU